This 363-nucleotide small RNA is filed under the name Pseudomonas veronii. RNAcentral describes it as "P34". It matches the Rfam family "Pseudomonas sRNA P34". The record is from RNAcentral. Lineage: Bacteria; Pseudomonadati; Pseudomonadota; Gammaproteobacteria; Pseudomonadales; Pseudomonadaceae.
CCGCCCAAUGCGCCGCCUACACCGGCUUCGGUGGUGCCGCCGGCCAUGGCUGCGCCACUGACCAGGCCAAGGGACAACAAGAGAAUCGAGGAGAACUUCAUAGAGAGACCUCAAGAGGAUGACGGCGCGAUCCUGAGGCUGUGUCGACAUUGUGACAAUAGAAAUCCGACCAGUAACACGACUUGUACACAAUUCUCUAACUUACUGUUUUAGCUAGGGAACUUAAGUAAUUUUGGCGGGUCUGUAAUUACUUCGGAACGGCCGCUUUUAUGCAAAAGCGGCCUUUUUUGUGCCCGGGAUUUACGCCGAGCGCGCCAUGAUCAGGCCAUUGUCGCUCGCCGCUUCCAGGCGGAUCGCCACAAA